ACGCUUCGGUGAUGUUUUAGCACUGGGCUCUGAGCUUAUGUGUAGACAACGUGCAGUUCUGCUCUUGACAUGGCAGAACCUGAGAAGUGC
Small nucleolar RNA from Megalobrama amblycephala (Wuchang bream), 90 nucleotides. The record is from RefSeq and is a predicted model, not a curated record. Lineage: Eukaryota; Metazoa; Chordata; Actinopteri; Cypriniformes; Xenocyprididae.